GCUGGCGGCGUGCUUAACACAUGCAAGUCGAGCGAGGCCUGGGGGGCAACUCCCAGAGUCGAGCGGCGGACGGGUGAGUAACACGUGGGUAACCUGCCCGGAAGUGGGGAAUACCUCGGGGAAACUCGAGCUAAUACCGCAUGACAUCUUCGGGACGAAAGUCCUGACGAUCAAAGCGGGGUCGCAAGAUCUCGCGCUACCGGAUGGGCCCGCGCCCGAUUAGCUAGUUGGUGAGGUAACGGCUCACCAAGGCUUCGAUCGGUAACCGGCCUGAGAGGGCGAUCGGUCACACCGGAACUGAGACACGGUCCGGACUCCUACGGGAGGCAGCAGUGGGGAAUCUUGCGCAAUGGGCGAAAGCCUGACGCAGCAACGCCGCGUGGAGGAUGAAGGCCCUUGGGUUGUAAACUCCUGUCGGCUGGGAAGAAAUCAUACGGUGCUCAUACCACCGUAUGUUGACUGUACCAGCAAAGGAAGCCCCGGCUAACUCUGUGCCAGCAGCCGCGGUAAUACAGAGGGGGCCAGCGUUAUUCGGAAUUAUUGGGCGUAAAGGGCGCGUAGGCGGCCAUGCGUGUCUUCCGUGAAAUCCCUCGGCUUAACUGAGGACGUGCGGAAGAAACUGCAAGGCUCGAGUCCGGGAGAGGGGGGGGUGGAAUUCCCAGUGUAGCGGUGAAAUGCGUAGAUAUUGGGAGGAACACCGGUGGCGAA
This 708-nucleotide ribosomal RNA is filed under the name uncultured soil bacterium. Its description in RNAcentral is "bacterial SSU rRNA". It matches the Rfam family "Bacterial small subunit ribosomal RNA", at positions 35 to 719 of the family's 1533-position model. The record is from RNAcentral.